UUACGGCCAUAUCACGUUGAAAAACCGGUUCCCGUACGACCACCGAGGUUAAGCAACGUCGAACCUGGCCCGUAUCUUGAUGGGUGACAACUAGGGAGUACCAGAGGCUGAAA
This is a non-coding RNA of Acanthosepion pharaonis, 113 nucleotides long. Lineage: Eukaryota; Metazoa; Mollusca; Cephalopoda; Sepiida; Sepiidae. The record is from the annotation of a GenBank genome assembly.